RNAcentral lists this transfer RNA (71 nucleotides) under Gammaproteobacteria bacterium. RNAcentral's name for it is "tRNA-Thr". It matches the Rfam family "tRNA", at positions 17 to 71 of the family's 71-position model. From Rfam's summary of the family: Transfer RNA (tRNA) molecules are approximately 80 nucleotides in length. The record is from RNAcentral. Lineage: Bacteria; Pseudomonadati; Pseudomonadota; Gammaproteobacteria.
GACUCCUCCUUUGGGGGUAGAGCAACGCACUCGUAAUGCGUAGGUCCGGGGUUCAAAUCCCCGAUGCGGCU